UAUAAUACUAUUAUGUGGCCCAAAAAAAUAGCUGCAUCUGCUUAAAUAAAGGAGGAACAAGCGCUUGAGCAUAAUCUGAUUUCUAAAUGAUGGUAAAUUCUAUCAAAGGCCACAGCUGUCAAGCAGUGACAUUAGGCUACAUGAUUCACACUGACAGAGCUUGCGCUGUUAAGUAAAAGGGCAAUGCUACUUGUGCAUUAAUGAAAACAUAGAUUUGCAACUCACUCCCCACCCAGAAACUUAUCACUAGCAUUAUUUAAUUGUCUAAACGAUCUCCAUUCUCGCAUAAUGGAGAUGAUAAUGAGCAAACCAUUAAUAUUAAACCUGACAAUG
This 333-nucleotide unclassified non-coding RNA is filed under the name Hevea brasiliensis (rubber tree). Lineage: Eukaryota; Viridiplantae; Streptophyta; Magnoliopsida; Malpighiales; Euphorbiaceae. The record is from RNAcentral.